Long non-coding RNA from Drosophila miranda, 2081 nucleotides. RefSeq lists it as uncharacterized. NCBI's taxonomy places the organism in Eukaryota, Metazoa, Arthropoda, Insecta, Diptera, Drosophilidae. The transcript has 4 exons. The record is from RefSeq and is a predicted model, not a curated record.
CGGCCCAUAUUUGGAUGGACUUAUUUGUGUGCACAGAGCUGUAGCUUAUCUGCAUGCAAGGGAAUAAACGGGAAUAAAGCGAAAGCUUUUGACAAGAGAGCGAGCUUUGGGUUAUCUAGCCCUUGUGCUUUAGAAUGGGAUGAAGAAACAAAAUCAAAGCUCAAGCGCUGGAUCAUUCGAUCCAUGGAACUAAAUUGUGGAAGGUCAGUUUGGUGGUACGGCGAGAUAAAAGAAAAGAAUAAAAGGUUAUACACGUGUCUGAAAAAAAAAAGAAAAAUUUAAAUCAAUAAAUCGUCGAAAGUAGGGUGCACAUGCCAAGCUGCCCCAAAAAAAAAAUAAGCUCAGUGUGCCGAAAAGCCGAAAAAUCUGUGGUUCUCCAAAGAUAAACCCGGUUUCAAGCCCCAAACGGGGUCUGAGCUUUGCCAGUCGAUCUCGGUUUCUCCAGUGUAAUUUAAUAUUGACGAAAGUUAUCCAACGGAGGUCAAACUUCUGCCGCACAACGAAAAUUUGCGAUCAACCUUAUUUUUGACCUUGGCAGAGGACAUACAGUUGCCUCUGAAAUUCUAUGUCGUGGCCUGGAUAGGCACAGACAUAUCCAUAUCGGAUGUCUUCAAGGAAAAGGAUUGACACACACACUGAAUUCAACCGUAGCUACUAUUGCUAUUAUUAUUAUUUUUUUUGCAUUUAAAUUUUGUACAUUAUAAUCUAAUCUAGGACACAUCAAUGCAUGCAGGCCUGUUGCAGCGAUGGAAAACCAAACUUGCUGUAACUGUAGAUAAAUAAGAUGUUAUGAAGAUUUGAGGUGAUGCUGAGGAUGGUUGUUAGUUGGAGUGGAGUUAAAAUAUGAAAAUACACUGAAGAUUGAUCAACAUGAAAUUGGAGUAGAAUAACUAUACAGGGGUAUUGGGAAGGGGGAACAUAUAGAGGUUUAAGGGUUAACAUAUAGGGUGGGUAAACGCGGAGAUUACAAGACCUAACUCCGUGCGGCGAUGCAUAUGGCACUAUUGAUUUGAUUUGUAUAACACCUAACGGCCAGGUUAGCACCAGAAUCUCUUGUAUGUGUUUAGCUGGAACAACUGAAAGAUCCCCCCAUCCGACGAGCCCUAGCCGAAAGAUCCCACACAGUGCUAACCAUAACAUCUAUGCAAGUUGUCUAGUUUGUGGAAUGCGUCUCGAAAGCUACCACACCAGAACACCGGGACACAUUACAAAAGUGGCGCCCAACGUGGGGCACGAUACAACAACAACCGUAACAAAACUUUGUGUCUCAGUUAUUGUCAGCAUAUAGAAUUUUUGCUUUUGUUUCCUUUCUGGAAAACUGCAAUGGUUGGUGCAAGUCACAGUCCAUUCUGUCCGAAACGAUGAGGGAGCAUCGGGUCUAUAUGCGUGCCAGGAGCUAAGUGGAAGAAAAUUGUAUUAAUGUCUGUGGAAAUCUUUAAGAUUUAGAAUGCUAGUCAUUAAAUCUUGCUGCCCGGAACAAUUGGUAUAUUUUUUUUCUGAAGCUUCAGCUCGUGUUGAAGACAAUAUUUUUUUUUUAACAGUAUAUUUUGGGAACAAGUCAUGGUGUGAUAUGUAUUGCCAUAAUCUUUGUAUGUUCCAAAUCUCAAUACCCUUGAUCCGUAUAGUUUAUUUUUGAAGUGAAUUUGACAUUUUCGAGCAUUUAUUCGGUAAAAUUCUUAAAGAUUGAUUUGUGUGUGCACCAUGGCCGUAAGACGAAGCUUAGAUAUGACCACAUCCACAAAUAAUGAACAGAACAUGCAUUUUGAAUUGGCUUGAUAAGUCGCGAUCUUGCCCAACAUGUCAAAACAAUGUUACAAGAAACAGUUUAUUAGAGGUUCUUUCCGAAAAUGUUGCCGACCACAAUCUGAACCUGGAAACAAAUAGUUUGGAGAGGAUUCUGUUAACUAAUAGUCAAAAGAAGAAAAAGAGACAGUCGCAGCAAUCAAAUGAGAUAGUAGAUCUCGAGGAUAACAGUAACGUAUUGUCUAAUUCUGCUUCUGCGGAUAACCCAAACCAAGAUGUAGGUUUCUUAGAGCAGAGAAUAUUAUCACAGGUAGAUCAUCGAAUAACUUCGCAAAUUA